GUCAAACUUGUGAUCUUCCUAUCUAAUUCCUCCAGGGUGUUGAGGCCACAGGUGUACACCACCAUGCCAUGUCGGAUUAAUUGCCUUUUUUAACUUUUUUUUUUUUUUUUUUUUUGACUACAGAUCGAAUUCAGGACCUUUCUCUCUCCAGGCAGGAGCUUGUGCCACUGAGCUAUAUCCCUGGCCCCCGAGAUAAUUUAAGGAAUGGGUGAAUUAAUCUAACAUCUAAAUUUCUAGGCACCAGACCGUCUCUAGCUAGCAGCUACCGCCACCUCCCCCACAGGACUAACCUGGGGGCUAUUUGUGGUUCGGGUCUGACAGCCAGAGGCAGGUUUUAGUAGCGCCUUUCGAUUUGCCGCCACUUGGCGUCGCCGGUUUAACUCUAGUCUCUCACAGCGGGCUAAUUUCCGGGGCGGUGUCAUUGCCCAUUUAAGAGCCGAGAGCCCCGCCUUCGGGGCGGAGCUUGGAGGGGGCUUUAAGGGGCGGGCCGGCGAGCGGCCAGGGUCCUCCGGGGAUUAGCGCCGGGUGGGCGAGCGCGCUGUGCCGCCAUUUCUUGGCGUCCUCUGAGAAGCUGCCCCUUCCUUAUCCUCGCUUCGGGGUUUUCCUCUCUGGUUGCCGGUGCCCCGGGGGCCUCCUCGCCGUCGCACCGUCGUCCCCAGCCCAGAGAGACAAAAUGUUGAGCUUUCUCCGAAGAACUCUGGGGCGCCGCUCCAUGCGUAAACAUGCUGAGAAAGAACGACUCCGAGAGGCACAACGAGCUGCCACACACAUUCCUGCAGCUGGAGAUUCUAAGUCCAUAAUCACAUGUCGGGUGUCCCUUCUGGAUGGUACUGAUGUUAGUGUGGACUUGCCGAAAAAAGCCAAAGGACAAGAGCUGUUUGAUCAGAUUAUGUACCACCUGGACCUUAUUGAAAGUGACUAUUUUGGUCUGAGAUUUAUGGAUUCGGCACAAGUAGCACAUUGGUUGGAUGGUACAAAAAGCAUCAAAAAGCAAGUUAAAAUUGGUUCACCUUAUUGUCUACAUCUUCGAGUUAAAUUUUAUUCCUCAGAGCCAAACAAUCUUCGUGAAGAACUAACCCGGUAUUUAUUUGUUCUUCAGUUAAAACAAGAUAUUCUCAGUGGAAAAUUAGAAUGUCCCUUCGAUACAGCAGUGCAGUUGGCAGCUUAUAAUCUACAAGCUGAACUUGGUGACUUUGAUCUUGCUGAACAUAGUCCUGAACUUGUGUCUGAGUUCAGGUUUGUGCCCAUUCAGACUGAAGAGAUGGAACUAGCUAUUUUUGAAAAGUGGAAGGAAUACAGAGGUCAGACACCAGCACAAGCUGAAACCAAUUAUCUGAAUAAAGCCAAAUGGCUAGAAAUGUAUGGGGUUGAUAUGCAUGUAGUCAAGGCUAGAGAUGGGAAUGACUAUAGUUUAGGACUAACCCCAACAGGAGUCCUUGUUUUUGAAGGCGAGACCAAAAUUGGCUUAUUUUUUUGGCCCAAGAUAACCAGAUUGGAUUUUAAGAAGAAUAAAUUAACUCUAGUGGUGGUAGAAGAUGAUGAACUGGGCAAAGAGCAGGAGCAUACUUUUGUUUUUAGACUGGAGCAUCCAAAAGCAUGCAAACAUUUGUGGAAAUGUGCUGUGGAGCAUCAUGCCUUUUUCCGCCUCCGAGGCCCUGCCCAAAAGAGUUCUCAUCGCUCAGGAUUUAUUCGGCUAGGAUCACGAUUUAGAUACAGUGGGAAAACCGAGUAUCAGACUACGAAAACCAAUAAAGCAAGAAGAUCAACAUCCUUUGAAAGAAGACCCAGCAAACGAUAUUCUCGACGAACUCUACAAAUGAAAGCAAGUACACCAAAACCUGAAGAACUCAGUGUUCACAACAAUGUUUCAACCCAGAAUAAUGAGUCACAACAGGCUUGGGGUGUGAGAUCUGCUGUGCCUGUGAUUCCUUCCACAUCCUCUGGCCCUGUGCUGGUGGAAAUAGAGAAUCUUCCACGGAGUUCUGGAAUGGAUCAGCAUGACAGGAAAUGCUUUCCUCUGAAUAUUGAUUUACUACAUAACCCAGACUUACUGGAAACAAGCGUUAGUGAUAUAAUUGAGGCAGCAGACACCACAGAAACAUCCUCACCCCUGGAUGACAUUAACGCAGCCACCAGGCCGCCUGGCUUAGAGGAAGCUGAAGUUGAGUAUGGGAUGUUGAAAGAUGCAUCAGAGAAGCUCAAGCAGCUGGAGAUAGAGAACAGUCCUUUGCCAUCCCCGCGAUCCAAUGUUGAUGUUAACAUCAACAGCCAGGCAGAAGUGGUAAAGUUGACUGAGAAAUGUCUUAAUAAUACCAUUGAGAGCCCAGGAUUGAAUGCCACGAGAAUUCCUCCUGAUUUCAAGAGUAACAUUUUGAAGGCUCAAGUAGAGGCUGUGCAUAAGGUUACAAGAGAAGAUAGCUUAUUAAGUCAUAGAAGCACCAGUGUUCAAGAUGCUGCUACAAACAGUGCUGUAUUAAGUGAGAAUAAUGUGCCUGUCUCCAAAGAUUCUCUUCCUGUGACACAUAUCACACCUGUGGACAAGGAUGCUGUUCUAAAGGUGUCUUCAGCAUCCAUGAUCACACCCCGGUGGAUUAUCCCACAGAGCAGUGCCUUUUCUAAUGGACUUGCUGGCUGCGGAACGACUUUAGCAGAGAAGGAGGGAUGUGGUAGUAAAGAUGGACUCUCCCUGAUCUCUCCCCCGGCACCGUUCUUGGUAGAUGCUGUGACCAGUUCUGCACCAGCUCUGGCUGAAGACGCUGUCUUGAAGCAGAAGUGUUUACUGACUACUGAGCUCUAGGAGACUGCUCCUCCCAGCUGGUAACUGGAAUGCCCAGCACUCUGUAGCAGUCCGUCCUGGAAUCUGUUCCAGCUGGAAUGUGUUGAAUUCUGGAGUCUGUCCUUUGCAUUUGGUAAAAGAGCUCUACCUGCAUUUAACUUCAACUCCAUUUUAAAAGGCUACAUUUUCCGUCCAACUGGAAGAAUUUAAUCACCCUGUGUACUUUCCUAGAGGAAGGUAUCUGGUCUUUUACUUUCUAUAAUUCCGUUAGAGUUUGUAGUUCCUGAAUCAAGAGAUUACUUUCCCUGCACUUUCCUUCAAACUCUUGGCUCCACCUAGUGGUUGUAACUGUUUAGAACGACUUUAUAACCGGAUUGCCGCUGGCAGUCAUCACAACUGCUGUUUCCCUCUGUAGUAUAAGGGUAAGCAUUCUUGAUCUGAAUGCAUGUUAAAGAAGUUGUACUUUUCCAUGCAUUAAUUGUAAAUCAGGAAUUUAGAAAUUGGUGCACAUGCUACCUAGCUAGAUUUAGAGCCAGUUCUUCUUACAGUUAGUAUAAUACUAAAGAGAAGUUGAGAAUACAGAAGGUUUUUAAUGUCCCCCCUACUUUUGACUUCUUAUGAAGUGGCUAUCUUCCUGUGAAUUAGCCACAUAAACAUUGAGAACAACAGAUCGAUCAGUGUCCCAUCAUAUAAUUUUACAGCUUUGCUGUCCCACAGGAAGUAUUCCCAUGUACCACACUAACUUUGCAGCCUGACGGGGCAAAUUCCUAAUCAAGAGACCCUAGGCAUUGACCCCGGGCAUCCACCUACCCUCCUGAGCCAGGUGAGGUGUGCAGGCCAUUUUGGACUUCAGUAAUAAAGGCAGUACUCCACAUCGGUACCUGUGUGGACAUAGCUUCCAUUUCAUUUCUAUAUAAGCCCAAUACAUUGAGAGCUUUCAAACUGGAAAGAAAGAAGAAACAAAAACACCAAGACAGAGGUAGGGAACAGGGAUAAGGAUGACAGGAUUUUGUUUCUUAAAUGCCUACCAUGUGUGAAAUUCUGUGUCGCAUACUAAAAGACGUCACCCUGCAGUAGGGAUUUGGUUAGUUAAAAGACUUCUCAAGUUUUCCUCCGUCCCUUUUAGCCAGUACAAGAAUUUGUGGAUGUUAAAGCAAUACCUGUGCAUCACAGAAGAGUAUACAGAUAUCCACCUGUUAAUCCGAAAACUCACAAAUAACACUAAUGUAGCUUUCAAACUGUAGACUAAGAAGUAAGCCCCAGUUGCUAUGGGAAAAAACGAUCUGGAAACUAUGUUGGGAAAGUCAUCAGUCAUCAAGGACUGAGUUAAACUAUACCUCCUAGGAAUUGUUUUUUAAUUUUUCUGCCCUGAAAUGUGUAUAUGAUUGAGCAUUAAUUUGUACUACUCAGUAUAAAAGAGCAUCCAGUUAUGUGGUCUUUAAAAAUUUCAUGGUUUGAACUAUCUCGGGCUCCCUGUAGCAUACUUAUGUGUGGAGGGAACCACAGUAGGAUUAAACUGGAAACGCAGCAAUUUUAAUCUUGCACUGUUUCCCAGGGAGCUGUAUAGAUGGGAAAGCACUUUUCACAAAACAUUUUUGCUAAAGGAGAAAAAGUUGGCACUUCUUACUGGCUGCCUCCCCAUAGCCAUUAUGCUAAGCUUGUGAGUUCCAUUGGAUUGCUCUCGGCAGCCCUUGGUUAUACUGUAAAACACGCUUUCUUGCAGCUGUGGCACAUAGAACCUUGACCUGACCCAGGACGUGUUGAACUGGGCAUCAGUUUUUCAGUGCCUGACAACCCUGAGUGUCCUGAGGGGUCAGUGUUGUGUUCCUAACCGCAGAGCAGCUAAAGGCAUUGUGCCUUGGAAGACCUGAACUUCCCGUCCAGUUUAGAAGGUAGUACGAUGCUUAUCUUAAACUUUCCAAAAUUUAGGAGUUAAGCUGAAAAUAUUUCAUCACCUUUCUGUCUUCGGGUACCUAUAGUCUUGCCAAUCAAAAUAUUGAUAGGAACUUUCAUUUGAAUCUCCACUAAAAGUACAGUAUCCAAACAUGAAAUGGUAAAUAUGAAUGAUGGAUUAUCCCUGAUAGAUUAGAUACCUGACAGAUACAAGAUUCCUGUCACCUCUGCUGCCAGUGUUGUCCCCAGAGCUGCCACACUAGCUCAUGCUGUUCCGUUCCCCUGAGAACAGCAGUGGUGGGAAGAGGCAAGGCUGAGGAGCGCUGUGGCUGUGGGGGCAGGCAAGGGAAAUGUCUGUCUGAGAAGAGGGAAGCAUGUGCGAACCCGUGGAGGAGGCUGGCGAAGAGGCUGGAGCAGACACUGGGUAGGAAGGCAGCUGGUGACACUGGGCUGAGGUGGGAGGGGCCGGAGAACACUGCAGGCCUGCUUGAUGGUUUCGUGCACAGGAAACAGUGUUGCAGAAGCUGCUCCACUGUCUUUGCACAGGGAGCAGCCAGAAGGUCCUGGUAGGAGGACAGAGGGCUGUCAUGGAAGUUGAAACAGGAUGAGAAAUUGCGGGCAGGGGAUAUAGCUCAGUGGCACAAGUGCCUGCCUGGCAAGUACAACAUCCUGAGUUCGAUUCCUGGUACAAAAACAAAAAACACAAAAAAACCCCCAAAGAAACCAGAAUGAGAAAUUGCGGCUUUCUGCCUGGACUCUCUUUCAGCAAGUGAGUUCAUCAUAGUUCGGUUUGUCUGCAGCACCUCCUUUCUAACAAGAGAGGCUCAUAGUUAUUUCACUCCCACUCUUGGGGAGACUGCUGAGCAGCAGUGAGUAGGUUCCUUGUGUACUUGACAGUUUCAUACGUCAAGAAAAAUUCUUUUGAAAAAGUACUUCUUACAGUUUUACUAACUUUUUUGGCUUUUAUUUGCUUUUGUACAAUCUCAGAGGUCCUGUGGACAUGAAAGAUGAAAGCCUUGACUUUUUCUAGACCGCUUGCUCUAGCAUGCUUCUCAAUUCAAGCUAAAACUUGUAUUUCUGUCUUCUCUUAGCUAAGCCCUGAAAGUUCCACUGUCCCUCUAGAAUCUUUGGUAAUGGGAUUAUUUGCCAGUCACAUAAAGUCUUUGAUAUUUUUGUGAGUGAGGAUUUAGAAAGAGUUCUUAUCUUCUCACUCAACGGAGGUCACAUGCAUGUCCUCUAAAGGCUAGAGAUAGUACAUACUUCAGCACUCAGCUCUGCUGGCACAGCACAGAAGCAGCGUGGACAGCAAUACGCAUGAACGUGGCUGUGUUCAUUAAAGUUUUAUUUACAAAGCAUCCGUGUCCCUGAUUUCCAGCUUUGUAGAGUGGAUACCUAGAAGACAGGUGGGGGUUCAGAUGGGCUCUGCAGUGUCAUCUGUCACUUGGAGGCACCCAGCCCAUCUGGAUGUUGCAUCCUCUCACACCAGUGGCACAGCCAGACAGGGUGCAGUUUGUGGUGUUGAUUCUGUAUCUCUGAGAGCUCACUAAUUUCUGGUUAAUCUUACCAUGUAGUUGCUUCGAAACUUGGAUAAGUGUGUAGAGUGAAGAAUGCAUAAUUCUCGGUUAUUUAUCUUUUCUUUUCUCUCAAAAAUGUAAAUACUGAUACUUGAGUGAUCAGAGGAUGGUUGGAAACUUCCUGUACAUUAGCACGCAGAAUGAGGAAUAUGGUUUGUAUUAUGGAAGCUUUCCCUGAGCUGAAUUCUGUGUGUUGUUAACGUACUGGUAGAGCUGUGAUUCUCCCCCAGGUCCAGCGGUCGGAUCUGUCAGCCCCUACUUUCUCAUGCUUGAGACCAUAAUUCAGUCACUCUGUAGGAUUUCUCUUUAUCAGAGGUGUUUUUGUGUCAUAACCCUUUCCUAUCUUCAGAUCUGGACACAAUAAGUGGUUGGUUAUGAGGACCUCACUAACUAUUUUGUUUACUUUUUAUAUGUGUAAAGCUCUGCAGUAGCUUUGAAACUGUAAUUUAUUUUUCUAUCAAGUGCACUAUAUUCAGUGUGUUCCGGUUUUGUAUAACUUGUAUUAGAAUCACAGCACUAAACUGUGAGUUGUCUAUACACUGAAAUGAGAAGUGUAGAUGUGACCUCAUUCAAAUAAAGCUUUUGUGAGACACGUGGUGUUUGAGCUGUUUCUUGGGUGUGGGAUACCUACCUG
Chinchilla lanigera (long-tailed chinchilla) is the source of this 6877-nucleotide long non-coding RNA. NCBI's taxonomy places the organism in Eukaryota, Metazoa, Chordata, Mammalia, Rodentia, Chinchillidae. The record is from Ensembl.